UGCAAGUCGAACGGUGAAGGCGGAGCUUGCUCUGCUGGAUCAGUGGCGAACGGGUGAGUAACACGUGAGCAAUCUGCCCCUGACUCUGGGAUAAGCGCUGGAAACGGCGUCUAAUACUGGAUACGAGCUGCGAAGGCAUCUUCAGCAGCUGGAAAGAAUUUCGGUCAGGGAUGAGCUCGCGGCCUAUCAGCUUGUUGGUGAGGUAAUGGCUCACCAAGGCGUCGACGGGUAGCCGGCCUGAGAGGGUGACCGGCCACACUGGGACUGAGACACGGCCCAGACUCCUACGGGAGGCAGCAGUGGGGAAUAUUGCACAAUGGGCGAAAGCCUGAUGCAGCAACGCCGCGUGAGGGACGACGGCCUUCGGGUUGUAAACCUCUUUUAGCAGGGAAGAAGCGAAAGUGACGGUACCUGCAGAAAAAGCGCCGGCUAACUACGUGCCAGCAGCCGCGGUAAUACGUAGGGCGCAAGCGUUAUCCGGAAUUAUUGGGCGUAAAGAGCUCGUAGGCGGUUUGUCGCGUCUGCUGUGAAACCCCGAGGCUCAACCUCGGGCCUGCAGUGGGUACGGGCAGACUAGAGUGCGGUAGAGGAGAUUGGAAUUCCUGGUGUAGCGGUGGAAUGCGCAGAUAUCAGGAGGAACACCGAUGGCGAAGGCAGAUCUCUGGGCCGUAACUGACGCUGAGGAGCGAAAGGGUGGGGAGCAAACAGGCUUAGAUACCCUGGUAGUCCACCCCGUAAACGUUGGGAACUAGUUGUGGGGUCCAUUCCACGGAUUCCGUGACGCAGCUAACGCAUUAAGUUCCCCGCCUGGGGAGUACGGCCGCAAGGCUAAAACUCAAAGGAAUUGACGGGGACCCGCACAAGCGGCGGAGCAUGCGGAUUAAUUCGAUGCAACGCGAAGAACCUUACCAAGGCUUGACAUAUACGAGAACGGGCCAGAAAUGGUCAACUCUUUGGACACUCGUAAACAGGUGGUGCAUGGUUGUCGUCAGCUCGUGUCGUGAGAUGUUGGGUUAAGUCCCGCAACGAGCGCAACCCUCGUUCUAUGUUGCCAGCACGUCAUGGUGGGAACUCAUGGAAUACUGCCGGGGUCAACUCGGAGGAAGGUGAGGAUGACGUCAAAUCAUCAUGCCCCUUAUGUCUUGGGCUUCACGCAUGCUACAAUGGCCGGUACAAUGG
Molecule: ribosomal RNA, 1179 nt
Filed under: bacterium
Lineage: Bacteria
Description: bacterial SSU rRNA
Rfam family: Bacterial small subunit ribosomal RNA
Source: RNAcentral